This 124-nucleotide ribosomal RNA is filed under the name Staphylococcus aureus. Its description in RNAcentral is "partial 16S ribosomal RNA". It matches the Rfam family "Bacterial small subunit ribosomal RNA", at positions 1418 to 1533 of the family's 1533-position model. Lineage: Bacteria; Bacillati; Bacillota; Bacilli; Caryophanales; Staphylococcaceae. The record is from RNAcentral. RNAcentral also lists the same sequence under 1 other name.
CACCCGAAGCCGGUGGAGUAACCUUUUAGGAGCUAGCCGUCGAAGGUGGGACAAAUGAUUGGGGUGAAGUCGUAACAAGGUAGCCGUAUCGGAAGGUGCGGCUGGAUCACCUCCUUUCUAAGGA